RNAcentral lists this ribosomal RNA (237 nucleotides) under uncultured Planctomycetota bacterium. Its description in RNAcentral is "uncultured planctomycete partial 16S ribosomal RNA". It matches the Rfam family "Bacterial small subunit ribosomal RNA", at positions 592 to 827 of the family's 1533-position model. Lineage: Bacteria; Pseudomonadati; Planctomycetota. The record is from RNAcentral.
UUGUGAAAGCCUUCUGCUUAACGGAAGAACAGCAUCUGAUACUGCAAGGCUAGAGUGCGGAAGGGGAGAGUGGAACUUCUGGUGGAGCGGUGAAAUGCGUAGAUAUCAGAAGGAACACCGGCGGCGAAGGCGACUCUCUGGUCCGUAACUGACGCUGAGUGUGCGAAAGCUAGGGGAGCAAACGGGAUUAGAUACCCCGGUAGUCCUAGCCGUAAACGAUGGGCACUAAGUAGAGGG